GCCCUUAUAGCUUAAUGGUAGAGCUCCGGCCUUGCAAGCCAAAGGCCAGUGGUUCCAACCCCGUCCGGGACA
Molecule: transfer RNA, 72 nt
Filed under: Phytophthora infestans (potato late blight agent)
Lineage: Eukaryota; Oomycota; Peronosporomycetes; Peronosporales; Peronosporaceae
Description: tRNA-Ala
Source: RNAcentral